This 1028-nucleotide ribosomal RNA is filed under the name uncultured bacterium. RNAcentral's name for it is "bacterial SSU rRNA". It matches the Rfam family "Bacterial small subunit ribosomal RNA", at positions 28 to 1110 of the family's 1533-position model. The record is from RNAcentral.
GAUGAACGCUAGCGGCGUGCUUUAGGUAUGCAAGUCGAACGGUCCCACUUCGGUGGGACAGUGGCGGACGGGUGAGUAAUGCGUAGGGAUGUACCCUUUGGUGGGGAAUAGCCUCGGGAAACCGGGGGUAAUACCGCAUAAGUCUUUAUGAGAAAGGGCGUAACUGCCCGCCGAUGGAGCAACCUGCGUCCUAUCAGCUUGUUGGUGAGGUAAUGGCUCACCAAGGCGAUGACGGGUAGCUGGUCUGAGAGGAUGGUCAGCCACAAUAGCACUGAGACACGGGCUAUACACCUACGGGUGGCAGCAACCGGGAAUCUUGCGCAAUGGGCGAAAGCCUGACGCAGCGACGCCGCGUGCGGGAUGAAGGCCUUCGGGUCGUAAGCCGCUUUUAUCUAUUGGUCAACAAUGAAUGAAUAACCACCUGCAAACUACGUGCCAGAAGCCUCGGUGAUGCGUAGGGUGGAAGCGUUAUCCGGAUUUAUUGGGCGUAAAGGGUUUCGUAGGCGGCUUGUUAAGUCCAAAUUCAAAGCCUGGGGCUCAACCCCAGAACGGGUUUGGAUACUGAUAAGCUAGAGGUUUUUCGGGGGUGCUGGAAUUCCUGGUGUAGGGGUGAAAUCCAUUGAUAUCAGGAAGAACGUCAAGGGCGAAGGCAGGCACCUAGGAAUGACCUGACGCUAAGGAACGAAAGCUAGGGGAGCAAAAGGGAUUAGGGACCCCUGUAGUCCUAGCCGUAAACGAUCCCUGCUAGCUGUUCUGUCAUUAGAUGGAGUGGCGCAAGCUAACGCGUUAAGCAGGCGCCUGGGGAGUACGACCGCAAGGUUAAAACUCAAAGGAAUUGACGGGGAUCUGCACAACCGGUGGAGCAUGUGGUUUAAUUCGAUACAAAGCGUAGACCUUACCUGGGCUUGACAUGCUAGUGACCGCAUCGAAGAUGGCUUUCUUCGGGAACACUAGCACAGUGCUGCAUGCUGUCGUCAGCUCGUGCGUGAGUGUUCCCUUAAGUGGGUAAACGAGCGCCACCCUUACUG